Molecule: ribosomal RNA, 1464 nt
Filed under: Nostoc sp. ANT.L34.1
Lineage: Bacteria; Bacillati; Cyanobacteriota; Cyanophyceae; Nostocales; Nostocaceae
Description: bacterial SSU rRNA
Rfam family: Bacterial small subunit ribosomal RNA
Source: RNAcentral
GAUGAACGCUGGCGGUAUGCUUAACACAUGCAAGUCGAACGGUGUCUUCGGNCACAGUGGCGGACGGGUGAGUAACGCGUGAGAAUCUGGCUCUAGGUCUGGGACAACCACUGGAAACGGUGGCUAAUACCGGAUGUGCCCUUCGGGGUGAAAGAUUAAUUGCCUGGAGAUGAGCUCGCGUCUGAUUAGCUAGUAGGUGUGGUAAAGGCGCACCUAGGCGACGAUCAGUAGCUGGUCUGAGAGGACGAUCAGCCACACUGGGACUGAGACACGGCCCAGACUCCUACGGGAGGCAGCAGUGGGGAAUUUUCCGCAAUGGGCGAAAGCCUGACGGAGCAAUACCGCGUGAGGGAGGAAGGCUCUUGGGUCGUAAACCUCUUUUCUCAGGGAAGAACACAAUGACGGUACCUGAGGAAUAAGCAUCGGCUAACUCCGUGCCAGCAGCCGCGGUAAUACGGAGGAUGCAAGCGUUAUCCGGAAUGAUUGGGCGUAAAGCGUCCGCAGGUGGCAAUGUAAGUCUGCUGUUAAAGAGUGAGGCUCAACCUCAUAAGAGCAGUGGAAACUACAUAGCUAGAGUACGUUCGGGGCAGAGGGAAUUCCUGGUGUAGCGGUGAAAUGCGUAGAGAUCAGGAAGAACACCGGUGGCGAAGGCGCUCUGCUAGGCCGUAACUGACACUGAGGGACGAAAGCUAGGGGAGCGAAUGGGAUUAGAUACCCCAGUAGUCCUAGCCGUAAACGAUGGAUACUAGGCGUGGCUUGUAUCGACCCGAGCCGUGCCGUAGCUAACGCGUUAAGUAUCCCGCCUGGGGAGUACGCCGGCAACGGUGAAACUCAAAGGAAUUGACGGGGGCCCGCACAAGCGGUGGAGUAUGUGGUUUAAUUCGAUGCAACGCGAAGAACCUUACCAAGGCUUGACAUGUCGCGAAUCUUCUUGAAAGGGAAGAGUGCCUUCGGGAGCGCGAACACAGGUGGUGCAUGGCUGUCGUCAGCUCGUGUCGUGAGAUGUUGGGUUAAGUCCCGCAACGAGCGCAACCCUCGUUUUUAGUUGCCAGCAUUAAGUUGGGCACUCUAGAGAGACUGCCGGUGACAAACCGGAGGAAGGUGGGGAUGACGUCAAGUCAGCAUGCCCCUUACGCCUUGGGCUACACACGUACUACAAUGCUCCGGACAGAGGGCAGCAAGCAUGCGAAUGCAAGCAAAUCCCGUAAACCGGAGCUCAGUUCAGAUCGCAGGCUGCAACUCGCCUGCGUGAAGGAGGAAUCGCUAGUAAUUGCAGGUCAGCAUACUGCAGUGAAUUCGUUCCCGGGCCUUGUACACACCGCCCGUCACACCAUGGAAGCUGGUAGUGCCCGAAGUCAUUACUCCAACCUUUCGGGGGGGAGGAUGCCUAAGGCAGGACUGGUGACUGGGGUGAAGUCGUAACAAGGUAGCCGUACCGGAAGGUGUGGCUGGAUCACCUCCUUU